UUAAGUCAAAUUUGUAUGGAGCUGGAACAGUGCCCGUAGCGGCAAACAUAGGCAAACGUUCCAACUCCAUACAAAUUUAAAUUA
RNAcentral lists this microRNA precursor (84 nucleotides) under Bombyx mori (domestic silkworm). Its description in RNAcentral is "mir-2807 microRNA precursor family". It matches the Rfam family "mir-2807 microRNA precursor family". Lineage: Eukaryota; Metazoa; Arthropoda; Insecta; Lepidoptera; Bombycidae. The record is from Rfam by way of RNAcentral.